Molecule: ribosomal RNA, 439 nt
Filed under: uncultured Bacillota bacterium
Lineage: Bacteria; Bacillati; Bacillota
Description: bacterial SSU rRNA
Rfam family: Bacterial small subunit ribosomal RNA
Source: RNAcentral
GGGCCCGCACAAGCAGUGGAGUAUGUGGUUUAAUUCGAAGCAACGCGAAGAACCUUACCAGGGCUUGACAUCCCGCGCAUAGCAUAGAGAUAUGUGAAGCCUUUCGGGGCGCGGAGACAGGUGGUGCAUGGUUGUCGUCAGCUCGUGUCGUGAGAUGUUGGGUUAAGUCCCGCAACGAGCGCAACCCCUGUUGUCAGUUGCCAUCAUUAAGUUGGGCACUCUGGCGAUACUGCCGGUGACAAAUCGGAGGAAGGUGGGGACGACGUCAAAUCAUCAUGCCCCUUAUGUCCUGGGCUACACACGUACUACAAUGGACGUAAACAGAGGGAAGCGAAGGAGUAAUUUGGAGCAAAACCCAAAGACGUCCUCAGUUCGGAUUGUGGGCUGAAACCCGCCCACAUGAAGUCGGAAUUGCUAGUAAUGGCAGGUCAGCAUACUG